GAUAAACGCUGGCGGCGUGCAUAACACAUUCAAGUCGAACGGGAAUCUUGUGAAUGAGACUUCGGUUGAUUGAGCAAGAGGAUAGUGGCGGACGGGUGAGUAACGCGUGAGCAACCUGCCUCUGUGAGGGGAACAACGCAUGGAAACGUGCGCUAAUACCGCAUAAAGCAUAUUGAUUGCAUGGUUGAUAUGUUAAAGGAGCAAUCCGCAUAGAGAUGGGCUCGCGUCUGAUUAGAUAGUUGGUGAGGUAACGGCUCACCAAGUCGACGAUCAGUAGCCGGACUGAGAGGUUGAACGGCCACAUUGGAACUGAGAAACGGUCCAGACUCCUACGGGAGGCAGCAGUGGGGAAUAUUGGGCAAUGGGGGAAACCCUGACCCAGCAACGCCGCGUGGAGGAAGAAGGUUUUCGGAUUGUAAACUAUUGUCGUUAGGGAAGAUACAAGACAGUACCUAAGGAGGAAGCCCCGGGCUAACUAUGUGCCAGCAGCCG
Molecule: ribosomal RNA, 492 nt
Filed under: uncultured bacterium
Lineage: Bacteria
Description: bacterial SSU rRNA
Rfam family: Bacterial small subunit ribosomal RNA
Source: RNAcentral